RNAcentral lists this long non-coding RNA (1429 nucleotides) under Sus scrofa (pig). RNAcentral describes it as "lncRNA (ENSSSCG00040011086.1)". The record is from RNAcentral. Lineage: Eukaryota; Metazoa; Chordata; Mammalia; Artiodactyla; Suidae.
AUGAGGAAGUCUCCCGAUCUGCCUACAGAAGCUGUUGGUGACCCUGGAGUGUGCCAAGCCAGGGGGCAGGGGAGGGGCCGGGGCAGCAAUGCCACCUGGUGCCGAGCGGCCCAGAGGAGACCUCGGAUACGGCGUGGCUGGAGGAGAGCCCUGGAAUUGCUGACGUGGGUUCCGCGCCUGAUGGCUGGACGAGGUCAGGAUACUGGAGGGGGAAGACUCCAUCUCUUCUCUGAAGCCACUCAACAGACUUCCAGGAUGCUUCGGAGCAAAGCCAAGGUAAGACCCCUUGCCUUGAGCAAGGAUAACUUGGAUCAUAAAAGUGCAGAGCAGGAUGUGUCCUUAGGUCAACCCACCCAUUUUACAGAUGAAGGCACUGAGGCUCCAGCUGAGACCUUAGGGUGUCUGGGACUCAUCGCCCCACUGCCAUGAAUCAUGACUUUGACAUUUCCAGAAGAAGGAUGGCAACCCAGGGGGAUGUUAUAAGGCUGUAAGCAAGGAAGGGCCGGACACCCAAGUUACUCAUCUCCUCAACCCAGCACGGUUACGAGUCAGUCACAUGCAGCUUUGUCCACCUGCACCCCCCACCCCCACCCCUCCCCGGCUGUUCAGAGCCCUGGCCAAGCCUGUGGCAAGAGGUCAAGGGCAGAGGAGGGUCUGCAGUGGUUUGGAGAAACAGUCAGCUUUUCCCACUGCUGGCAUUCCUGCCUCAGUAAGUUUCUGCUCUGUCCCUGAGCCCCAAGGUGCUAAAUGAAGAAGAUUCCAGAAGGAUGGUGGAGCAGGAGGGGCUACAUCUGAUCUGCCUCAUCCUGGGGGCGGGUGGGCAGGGGGUGGGCUGGUAGAGAAACCAGGACAAAAGCUGCAUUAAUCCAGAUCUGACUUGCCUGAGCUCAGUGGAAAUGAGUAAUUUGUGGUGUGUCUCCCGAGAUGUUUCUUUUCCUUGGGAAGAAGACAAUAGGAAUCUACUGGGCAGAAACCCCCAGACAUCUCGAUGCCUUUCGACCCCAGGCUCACCCACAGGGCCUGCCUGGAGGUCCUCUUAGAAAGCUUCUUGCUGCAAGCCAUCUGUCUCACUUCUCUAUCUUCAGAGGACAAUGUCCUACCUCGCCCUCAAGAAUUUUCUCAAAACAGAAUUUACUGUAAUUCCACGGCACAGAAACACACGGGCAUAGGGACGAAGGAAGGUGCUUCUCUCCAAAAGCAGCGGAAGCUUUCUAUUCUCCUAGAUCCCUUGUGUAACAGAUGAUUUGGGAUCACUAGAGGAUUUUAGCCAAUGCUUGGGAAGUUUGAGACAUGAAAGGGAGAAGCAGGCAUAAGGUAAUAACAUCUGGAUAGCAGAACAAAGGAGCUGUGAUGAUCCUAAUAUUUAUAUGCUGUGCACUUUAUUUUUCCCAGUUUUAUUGAGGCAUAAUUGACACACGGCACUGUGUCA